GAUGAACGCUGGCGGCGUGCCUAACACAUGCAAGUCGAGCGAACGGAAGAGGACCUUUCUUCUCUGAUGUUAGCGGCGGUCGGGUGAGUAACACGUGGAUAACCUACCUAUAAGACUGUGAUAAUUUCGUGAAACCAUAGCUAAUACCGGAUAAUUUUUUGAACCUCAUUGUUCAAAAUUGAAAGACGGUCUUGUCAUAGCUUAUCGAUCAAUCCGCGAUUCAUGCGAUAGUUGGUAGGGUAACUGCUUACGCAGGUAACGAGGGAUAGCCGACCUGAGAGGGGGAACGGCCAGACGGGAAGUGAGACAGGGUACAGACUCUGACGGGAAGCAGCAGUACGGAAUCUUCCGGAAGGGGCGAAAGCCUGACGGAGCAACGCGGGGGGAGUGAUGAAGGUCUUCGGACCGGAAAACUCUGAUAUUAGGGAGGAACAUAUGUGUAAGUAACUGUGCAGAUCUUGACGGUACCUAAUCAGAAAGCCACGGCUAACUACGUG
Molecule: ribosomal RNA, 497 nt
Filed under: uncultured bacterium
Lineage: Bacteria
Description: partial 16S ribosomal RNA
Rfam family: Bacterial small subunit ribosomal RNA
Source: RNAcentral